AAUUUUUAAUUAUUUUUAGGAUUAUAGUUUAAAAAAAANCAUUUGAUUUGCAUUCAAAAAAUAUUAAUAUUUUAAUUUAUCUUA
RNAcentral lists this transfer RNA (84 nucleotides) under Thaumatotibia leucotreta. RNAcentral describes it as "tRNA-Ala". Lineage: Eukaryota; Metazoa; Arthropoda; Insecta; Lepidoptera; Tortricidae. The record is from RNAcentral.